Molecule: ribosomal RNA, 254 nt
Filed under: uncultured bacterium
Lineage: Bacteria
Description: partial 16S ribosomal RNA
Rfam family: Bacterial small subunit ribosomal RNA
Source: RNAcentral
UACGUAGGACGCAAGCGUUUAUCCGGAAUUAUUGGGCGUAAAGAGCUCGUAGGCGGUUUGUCGCGUCUGCCGUGAAAGUCCGGGGCUCAACUCCGGAUCUGCGGUGGGUACGGGCAGACUAGAGUGAUGUAGGGGAGACUGGAAUUCCUGGUGUAGCGGUGAAAUGCGCGGAUAUCAGGAGGAACACCGGUGGCGAAGGCGGGUCUCUGGGCCGAUACUGACGCUGAGGAGCGAAAGCGUGGGGAGCGAACAGG